This 253-nucleotide ribosomal RNA is filed under the name uncultured bacterium. Its description in RNAcentral is "partial 16S ribosomal RNA". It matches the Rfam family "Bacterial small subunit ribosomal RNA", at positions 524 to 776 of the family's 1533-position model. The record is from RNAcentral.
UACGGAGGGGGCUAGCGUUGUUCGGAAUUACUGGGCGUAAAGCGCACGUAGGCGGCUUUGUAAGUUAGAGGUGAAAGCCCGGGGCUCAACUCCGGAAUUGCCUUUAAGACUGCAUCGCUCGAAUUGUGGAGAGGUAAGUGGAAUUCCGAGUGUAGAGGUGAAAUUCGUAGAUAUUCGGCGGAACACCAGUGGCGAAGGCGACUCACUGGCCCGAUACUGACGCUGAGGCGCGAAAGCGUGGGGAGCAAACAGG